Long non-coding RNA from Bombina bombina (fire-bellied toad), 311 nucleotides. RefSeq lists it as uncharacterized. The record is from RefSeq and is a predicted model, not a curated record. NCBI's taxonomy places the organism in Eukaryota, Metazoa, Chordata, Amphibia, Anura, Bombinatoridae. The transcript has 4 exons.
CUGAAGAAAAGUUUAAAAAAAUUGGGAUUCUGGAUGAGGACUUCUCUUGCUCAGAUAUUCACUCAAAAUUUGGGCUCGGUCUAAGUAGAGAAGAGCAAGAAAUGAGAAAACAAGUUUGUGGGCUAAACACCAUUGAGGUGGAAAUUAUUCCAAUUUGGAAGCUGCUUUUCAAAGAGGUUUUUAACCCAUUUUACGUUUUUCAAGCUUACUCGUUAAGUAUGUGGAUAGCUACCGGAUACAGUGAAUAUAGCUCAGCUAUUAUCAUCAUGACUUUGAUGUCAAUCUCUGCAACCAUAUACAAUCUGAGAGUG